RNAcentral lists this ribosomal RNA (253 nucleotides) under uncultured bacterium. RNAcentral's name for it is "partial 16S ribosomal RNA". It matches the Rfam family "Bacterial small subunit ribosomal RNA", at positions 524 to 776 of the family's 1533-position model. The record is from RNAcentral.
GACAGAGGGGGCAAGCGUUGCUCGGAAUUACUGGGCGUAAAGGGCGCGUAGGCGGGAUGGCAAGUCGGUCGUGAAAUCCCUCGGCUCAAUCAAGGAACGUCGAUCGAUACUGCUGUUCUUGAGGAUUGCAGAGGAGACUGGAAUUCCCGGUGUAGCGGUGAAAUGUGUAGAGAUCGGGAGGAACACCGGUGGCGAAGGCGGGUCUCUGGGCAAUUCCUGACGCUGAGGCGCGAAAGCGUGGGGAGCAAACGGG